GUCUACGGCCAUACCACCCUGAAUGCGCCCGAUCUCGUCUGAUCUCGGAAGCUAAGCAGGGUCGGGCCUGGUUAGUACUUGGAUGGAAAUAUGGUUGGUUCUAGGGC
RNAcentral lists this ribosomal RNA (107 nucleotides) under Canis lupus familiaris (dog). Lineage: Eukaryota; Metazoa; Chordata; Mammalia; Carnivora; Canidae. The record is from RNAcentral.